Molecule: long non-coding RNA, 414 nt
Organism: Helicoverpa zea (corn earworm)
Lineage: Eukaryota; Metazoa; Arthropoda; Insecta; Lepidoptera; Noctuidae
Exons: 3
Source: RefSeq, a predicted model, not a curated record
GGUGGUGGGGUGGAGGACGAAAUGAUGCUAACUGAGGUUGAGGAAAGGAUUGUUGCUUUGUGUGGUGGUGAAAGCUUUUCCACAGGAGAUGCACAUUUAGGCAUUCAGCCGUUUCCGGUAAGAAAUUCAGAAAUGCAAUUGGUAAGUAAUACUAGAAACACUCUGCAAGGUUUGCUGUCGUUUUUACAGCACCCAUUUUUUUGUGGAUUAGACCCUUUUUAGUGUUAAGUGAAUUUUAUAUUAAAUUUACCUUCCUGUUUCAGGAAAAUGAUACGCCGUCUCCAUCACCCGAAGCACAACCUAUAUACAAUACUAAUGAUGACAACAUUAAUGUACCACAACAACAGCAGAGUCAGGCACGGCCUACUGAGGAAUCAGCAGCUAUUGUAUUUUAUGAUUCCGCCCUGAUUGAGG